This 238-nucleotide ribosomal RNA is filed under the name uncultured bacterium. RNAcentral's name for it is "partial 16S ribosomal RNA". It matches the Rfam family "Bacterial small subunit ribosomal RNA", at positions 96 to 334 of the family's 1533-position model. The record is from RNAcentral.
CGGCGGACGGGUGAGUAACGCGUGGGUAACCUGCCUCAUACAGGGGGAUAACAGUUGGAAACGGCUGCUAAUACCGCAUAAGCGCACAGUACCGCAUGGUACCGUGUGAAAAACUCCGGUGGUAUGAGAUGGACCCGCGUCUGAUUAGCUAGUUGGUGGGGUAACAGCCUACCAAGGCGACGAUCAGUAGCCGACCUGAGAGGGUGACCGGCCACAUUGGGACUGAGACACGGCCCAA